AUGGAGCCCGCCCCCACGUCGCCCGAUCCGGCGCCCCGCUCCCCGGCGCCGUCGCCGUCGCCGGCCAAGAGGUCCGCCUGGAAGCAGCCCUCCCCCUCCGCCGCCGCCAACGGCGCCCCGCACGCCGACGCGCCGCCGCCGCCGGCCGUCAUGGACGCCGACCACUNNNNNNNNNNNNNNNNNNNNNNNNNNNNNNNNNNNNNNNNNNNNNNNNNNNNGCCCCCCUCCGACUCCCCCAAGCCUCCCCCGGACCCCUCCCCCGCCAACGCCGCCGCCGCCGCAUCGGCCAUGGCGAACCCGUCCAACUCGCCCCGGCACGGCGGCUCCGGGACGCACCACGGCCGCCACAAGACAGCUAGGCGCGGGGGCGCCGGCGGCAGCGGCGGGGGUGGAGACCACUCCCCGCGGGAUCACCAGGAGAGGAGCCCCGGCGGCUGGGACCAUGGCGGCGGCGGUGGCGGCGGGAGGGGCGGCCAGAGAAGCCACCACAACAACGGCGGCAGGAGGGGCGGUGGCAACGGUGGCCCGGGCGGCCCAGGAGGUGGUGGAGUUCCUCACCACGGCGGGUUUGGCGGACGCCGGAGAGGCGGGUUUGAUGGUGGCUUCUUCCGUGGCCCCGGGAUGGGCAUCGGGCCGUACAUGCGGGGGGCGCCGCCGCCGCCCCCGCCGCUGGCCGUCGCUCCUCCCUUCAUGGGCCACCCUCCGCCUCCCGGCUCGCAUAUGCGAGCCUUUGCUGGACCGAUGAUGGCGUUUCAUGAUAUGCCAUCACCAGUGUCUCCUGUUUCCCCAAUGUACUAUGUUGGGCCUCCGCCGCUUCCAGAGGCUCUUAGGGGAAUGGCAUUCGCACCUCAUAUGGUCGGCCCACCUGCUUAUCCCUACUUUCAGCCCCCGGCUGAGCCUGAGCCUGAGCCUGAGCCUGAGCCCGAGACUGAGCCUGAGCCCGUGGCUGAGCCGGAUUCCGAGGCUAAACGCCAGAAGCUGCAGAACCAGUUUGAGUUCUACUUCAGCAAGGACAACUUAUGUGGAGAUGUUUACUUGCGGCAACAUAUGGAUGAGGAGGGCUUUGUAUCGGUCCCUUUUAUGUCAACAACUUUCAAUAAGGUCCGGGAAAUCACUGCCGAUAUUCCUAACGCCAAUUUGCAGUAUAUAAUAGAAACAAUUCAGUCCUCAUCUAUACUGGAAGUGAAGGGCGACAAAGUUAGGAGGAAAGAUGACUGGGACAAAUGGUUAAUUCCGAAAGAGAGCAACCCUAAUAUUCCGUCAAGCUCUGCAGCAGCUGUGCCAAGCCCCAGCACCAAUGUCAAUGAUCUGACAGCACAGCUUGGAGGUGUGGGCCUGCAAGAACCAGCUGGCCCUAGUAGCACGGUGGACCAGAACCAUCAUGAGGUGGUCCAGAAUGGAUCGGCUUCCAGCAAUAACCCAGCACCGGCAGCUGAAGAAAGCGCUGGCCAGCGCUAG
This 1458-nucleotide ribosomal RNA is filed under the name Triticum aestivum (bread wheat). RNAcentral describes it as "partial small subunit ribosomal RNA". Lineage: Eukaryota; Viridiplantae; Streptophyta; Magnoliopsida; Poales; Poaceae. The record is from RNAcentral.